This 1158-nucleotide ribosomal RNA is filed under the name uncultured Euplotida. RNAcentral describes it as "bacterial SSU rRNA". It matches the Rfam family "Eukaryotic small subunit ribosomal RNA", at positions 1 to 1148 of the family's 1831-position model. Lineage: Eukaryota; Ciliophora; Spirotrichea. The record is from RNAcentral.
ACCUGGUUGAUCCUGCCAGUAGUCAUACGCUUGUCUCAAAGAUUAAGCCAUGGAUGUCUAAGUAUAAAGGUUACAAAAAAAAUGAAACUGGGAAUGGGUCAUUGAAACAGUUAUAGUUUAUUAGAUAUUCAGAAAAUUAUUCUAUAAAUGGAUAACCGUAGUAAUUCUAGAGCUAAUACAUGCGUUACGGGGGACUUUACGGAACCUCAGUAUUUAUUAGAUUAUUUAAACCAAUAUUCCGCAAGGUCUAUUUGUUGAUUCAUGAUAACUUAUCGAAUCGCUGGGUUGUACCCGCGAUAAAUCGUUCAAGUUUCUGCCCCAUCAGCUUGAUGGUAGUGUAUUGGACAACCAUGGCUUUCACGGGUAACGGGGGAUUAGGGUUCGAUUCCGGAGAGGGAGCCUGAUAAACGGCUACCACUUCUACGGAAGGCAGCAGGCGCGUAAAUUACCCAAUCCUGAUUCAGGGAGGUAGUGACAAGAAAUAAUGAACUGGGAUUUAUCCUGGAUUUAUAAUGGGCGUGACUUACAAACCUUUUUGGCGAGGAACAAUUGGAGGGCAAGUCUGGUGCCAGCAGCCGCGGUAAUUCCAGCUCCAAUAGCGUAUAUUUAAGUUGUUGCAGUUAGAAAAGGCUCGUAGUUGGAUUUCUGGAGGUGGGCGACAGGCGCGUGGCUAGGCUACGCCCAGUCUACUCCUUCAUCCUUCUGUUAACGUUGCUCGGCAUUGAGUUGUCGACUUCGGGCUCAGAUACUUUACCAUUUUAUUUAUGAGCAAAUUAGAGUGUUUCAGGCAGGCGUGCGCCGGAAUACAUUAGCAUGGAAUAAUCGAACAGGACCGUGUUCCUUUUGUUGGUUUCAAGGGCAUGGUAAUGAUUAAUAGGGACAUUGUUUAUCUAAAGGGGUGGCAUUAGUAUUUCAAAUUCAGAGGUGAAAUUCUUUGACAUAUGAAAGACUAACUUAUGCGAAAGCAUUUGCCAAGAAUGUUUUCAUUAAUCAAGAACGAAAGUUAGGGGAUCAAAGACGAUCAGAUACCGUCCUAGUCUUAACCAUAAACUAUCCCGACUAGGGAUCGGAGGCGUCCCCAUUCCCCCUUCGCCCCCUUAGGAGAAAUCAAAGUCUUUGGGUUCCGGGGGGAGUAUGGUCGCAAGGCUGAAACUUAAA